RNAcentral lists this ribosomal RNA (420 nucleotides) under bacterium. Its description in RNAcentral is "partial 16S ribosomal RNA". It matches the Rfam family "Bacterial small subunit ribosomal RNA", at positions 355 to 776 of the family's 1533-position model. The record is from RNAcentral.
UGGGGGAUAUUGCACAAUGGGCGAAAGCCUGAUGCAGCGACGCCGCGUGGGGGAUGAAGGCUUUCGGGUUGUAAACCUCUUUCGCUAUCGAACAAGGCCCGCUUAGGGUGGGUUGAGGGUAGGUGGAGAAGAAGCGCCGGCUAACUACGUGCCAGCAGCCGCGGUAAUACGUAGGGCGCGAGCGUUGUCCGGAAUUAUUGGGCGUAAAGGGCUUGUAGGCGGCUUGUUGCGCCUGCUGUGAAAACGCGGGGCUUAACUUCGCGCGUGCAGUGGGUACGGGCUGGCUUGAGUGUGGUAGGGGUGACUGGAAUUCCAGGUGUAGCGGUGGAAUGCGCAGAUAUCUGGAGGAACACCGAUGGCGAAGGCAGGUCACUGGGCCAUUACUGACGCUGAGGAGCGAAAGCAUGGGUAGCGAACAGG